GGGGGAUAGCCCGGCGAAAGCUGGGGUAAACCCGCAUAGUCUUCGUUGAUGGCAUCAUCUGAGGGAGUAAAGGCUUCGGCUGGUUUGGGAGGGAUUUGCGUCUGAUUAGCUAGUUGGGGGGGUAGUGGCCCACCAAGGCGAUGAUCAGUCGGGGCUCUGAGAGGAGGGUCCCCCACAUGGGCACUGAGACACGGGCCCAACUCCUACGGGAGGCAGCAGUAGGGAAUAUUGGGCAAUGGACUGACGUCUGACCCAGCCAUGCCGCGUGGAGGAAGACGGCCCUCUGGGUUGUAAACUCCUUUUAUCAGGGAAGAAGAGCACUGAUGCGUCAGUGUGUGACGGUACCUGAGGAAUCA
RNAcentral lists this ribosomal RNA (356 nucleotides) under uncultured Flexibacteraceae bacterium. Its description in RNAcentral is "bacterial SSU rRNA". It matches the Rfam family "Bacterial small subunit ribosomal RNA", at positions 138 to 489 of the family's 1533-position model. Lineage: Bacteria; Pseudomonadati; Bacteroidota; Cytophagia; Cytophagales; Cytophagaceae. The record is from RNAcentral.